GUAAUUACCUGGCAGGGAAGACACCAUGAUCAUAAAGGUGGUUUGCCCAGGAUGAGGCCCACCCAUUGCAUUCCAGGCGAGCUCACCCCUGCGAUUUGCCCAAAUGCUGCAAGCAAUUUAGCGCAGUUUUUAAUAAUAUCUUAAUGUCAGUUUAAUC
This is a small nuclear RNA of Protobothrops mucrosquamatus (brown spotted pit viper), 157 nucleotides long. RefSeq annotates it as U1 spliceosomal RNA. The transcript has a single exon. NCBI's taxonomy places the organism in Eukaryota, Metazoa, Chordata, Lepidosauria, Squamata, Viperidae. The record is from RefSeq and is a predicted model, not a curated record.